Molecule: ribosomal RNA, 1343 nt
Filed under: uncultured bacterium
Lineage: Bacteria
Description: 16S ribosomal RNA
Rfam family: Bacterial small subunit ribosomal RNA
Source: RNAcentral
GACGAACGCUGGCGGCGUGCUUAACACAUGCAAGUCGAACGGAAAGGCCCUGCUUUUGUGGGGUGCUCGAGUGGCGAACGGGUGAGUAACACGUGAGUAACCUGCCCUUGACUUUGGGAUAACUUCAGGAAACUGGGGCUAAUACCGGAUAGGAGCUCCUACUGCAUGGUGGGGGUUGGAAAGUUUCGGCGGUUGGGGAUGGACUCGCGGCUUAUCAGCUUGUUGGUGGGGUAGUGGCUUACCAAGGCUUUGACGGGUAGCCGGCCUGAGAGGGUGACCGGCCACAUUGGGACUGAGAUACGGCCCAGACUCCUACGGGAGGCAGCAGUGGGGAAUAUUGCACAAUGGGCGGAAGCCUGAUGCAGCAACGCCGCGUGCGGGAUGACGGCCUUCGGGUUGUAAACCGCUUUCGCCUGUGACGAAGCGUGAGUGACGGUAAUGGGUAAAGAAGCACCGGCUAACUACGUGCCAGCAGCCGCGGUGAUACGUAGGGUGCGAGCGUUGUCCGGAUUUAUUGGGCGUAAAGGGCUCGUAGGUGGUUGAUCGCGUCGGAAGUGUAAUCUUGGGGCUUAACCCUGAGCGUGCUUUCGAUACGGGUUGACUUGAGGAAGGUAGGGGAGAAUGGAAUUCCUGGUGGAGCGGUGGAAUGCGCAGAUAUCAGGAGGAACACCAGUGGCGAAGGCGGUUCUCUGGGCCUUUCCUGACGCUGAGGAGCGAAAGCGUGGGGAGCGAACAGGCUUAGAUACCCUGGUAGUCCACGCUGUAAACGGUGGGUACUAGGUGUGGGAUCCAUUCCACGGGUUCCGUGCCGUAGCUAACGCUUUAAGUACCCCGCCUGGGGAGUACGGCCGCAAGGCUAAAACUCAAAGGAAUUGACGGGGCCCCGCACAAGCGGCGGAGCAUGCGGAUUAAUUCGAUGCAACGCGUAGAACCUUACCUGGGUUUGACAUGGAUCGGGAGUGCUCAGAGAUGGGUGUGCCUCUUUUGGGGUCGGUUCACAGGUGGUGCAUGGCUGUCGUCAGCUCGUGUCGUGAGAUGUUGGGUUAAGUCCCGCAACGAGCGCAACCCUUGUUCACUGUUGCCAGCACGUUAUGGUGGGGACUCAGUGGAGACCGCCGGGGUCAACUCGGAGGAAGGUGGGGAUGACGUCAAGUCAUCAUGCCCCUUAUGUCCAGGGCUUCACGCAUGCUACAAUGGCUGGUACAGAGAGUGGCGAGCCUGUGAGGGUGAGCGAAUCUCGGAAAGCCGGUCUCAGUUCGGAUUGGGGUCUGCAACUCGACCUCAUGAAGUCGGAGUCGCUAGUAAUCGCAGAUCAGCAACGCUGCGGUGAAUACGUUCCCGGG